This 722-nucleotide ribosomal RNA is filed under the name Micromonospora sp. RNAcentral describes it as "bacterial SSU rRNA". It matches the Rfam family "Bacterial small subunit ribosomal RNA", at positions 87 to 824 of the family's 1533-position model. The record is from RNAcentral. Lineage: Bacteria; Bacillati; Actinomycetota; Actinomycetes; Micromonosporales; Micromonosporaceae.
GUACUCGAGCGGCGAACGGGUGAGUAACACGUGAGCAACCUGCCCUAGGCUUUGGGAUAACCCCGGGAAACCGGGGCUAAUACCGAAUAGGACUGCUGGCCGCAUGGCUGGUGGUGGAAAGUUUUUCGGCCUGGGAUGGGCUCGCGGCCUAUCAGCUUGUUGGUGGGGUGAUGGCCUACCAAGGCGACGACGGGUAGCCGGCCUGAGAGGGCGACCGGCCACACUGGGACUGAGACACGGCCCAGACUCCUACGGGAGGCAGCAGUGGGGAAUAUUGCACAAUGGGCGGAAGCCUGAUGCAGCGACGCCGCGUGAGGGAUGACGGCCUUCGGGUUGUAAACCUCUUUCAGCAGGGACGAAGCGAAAGUGACGGUACCUGCAGAAGAAGCACCGGCCAACUACGUGCCAGCAGCCGCGGUAAGACGUAGGGUGCGAGCGUUGUCCGGAUUUAUUGGGCGUAAAGAGCUCGUAGGCGGCUUGUCGCGUCGACUGUGAAAACCCGCAGCUCAACUGCGGGCCUGCAGUCGAUACGGGCAGGCUAGAGUUCGGUAGGGGAGACUGGAAUUCCUGGUGUAGCGGUGAAAUGCGCAGAUAUCAGGAGGAACACCGAUGGCGAAGGCAGGUCUCUGGGCCGAUACUGACGCUGAGGAGCGAAAGCGUGGGGAGCGAACAGGAUUAGAUACCCUGGUAGUCCACGCUGUAAACGUUGGGCGCUAGGUGUG